CGGAAGAUACACGAAUUAGUACUCAAACCUGUCUAAUUAUAUCAGACAUCAUUUUUAUAAUCUAAAUGUUUGUUAGAUACCUUUUCUUUUAUCUUACAUUUCAUUUUUCUUUCCUUGCUUGUACACAAGGUUUUAAAAACCAUGGCGUGGCCUAUAACGGUCAUAGGCCAAUUGAUGCCGGACAGCAGGGAAAGAAAGAAAGAGAGAAGAAAGAGAGAGGAGAAAUAGGGAAGAAGGAGAGAGGAGGGAGGAGGAAGAAGAAUUAGGCUUCGCACCUAGCCCCGCUCAGGUUUCACACGCUAGGGCUAAAGAAAGAAAUUCAAAAUCAAUUUUCAUUCAUGGCAUACCCUAAACAAUGUACAUUCCAACAUAUUUAUAAGACCCAAAAAAUGCAAAAGACCUAUAAAAAGAAACUAGUCUCACAAAAGACCCUCAAAAUAACAAAAUACCAAAAUAAGCCCUAAAGGUUGUCCAAUAACAAUAUACCCUAAUAAGUCCAAAUAAAAUAAAAUCACUCCAAAACUGGCUGAACCAUCCCCCUGCAGCGGUUGUAGACCCGAGUGACUGGCGGUCUAGCACUGGCGUCCGCACCACCAAUACAACAUGUAUUGCAGUAUGGGUCCAUACGACCUAAUGGUUUGGCCUGCACAAGAGAGUACAUGUAUCCAUAUGGGUCAAUAUGGGGUUGACUUAGACUGGUAGGGAUGCUAUGUACUAGUGACAUACCAUGUAUUUUAAAUCUUUUCUUGUCUUCUCCAUUCUUUCUUUGUUAUUGUAGCUUGGAAUUUGCUCAAUCACAAAUUCUAAUCAUAGGUCAUUUGUACUAUGGUUCUGUCGUAAUGUAUCAAAUAAAUGUUAGGGAAAAAUACUUUUUGCUAA
This 879-nucleotide long non-coding RNA is filed under the name Phoenix dactylifera (date palm). Its description in RNAcentral is "long non-coding RNA (PDAC_LNC017383)". Lineage: Eukaryota; Viridiplantae; Streptophyta; Magnoliopsida; Arecales; Arecaceae. The record is from RNAcentral.